This is a transfer RNA of Cavia porcellus (domestic guinea pig), 63 nucleotides long. It matches the Rfam family "tRNA". Rfam says of the family: Transfer RNA (tRNA) molecules are approximately 80 nucleotides in length. NCBI's taxonomy places the organism in Eukaryota, Metazoa, Chordata, Mammalia, Rodentia, Caviidae. The record is from Rfam.
GGGGAUUUAGCUCAGUGGCAUAAGCACCUGCCUUGCAAGCAGGCGGCGUGAGUUCGAUCCCUG